GUGUCGAUGAAGAGUCCCAGAGUAGGACGAAACGGUUGUCCAGCAC
RNAcentral lists this non-coding RNA (46 nucleotides) under Trichobilharzia regenti. Lineage: Eukaryota; Metazoa; Platyhelminthes; Trematoda; Strigeidida; Schistosomatidae. The record is from RNAcentral.